Molecule: small nucleolar RNA, 126 nt
Filed under: Echinops telfairi (small Madagascar hedgehog)
Lineage: Eukaryota; Metazoa; Chordata; Mammalia; Afrosoricida; Tenrecidae
Description: Small nucleolar RNA SNORA61 (ENSETEG00000026552.1)
Source: RNAcentral
UCUCUCCAGAUUUCUUACCCCUCGGACCUAAAUAUUGGUCUGAGUGGCUAAAAAUAAUAAGGAGGAAAGGUGAAACUAAGAUGGACUUGAAGUCUUUAGUGACAUACAAGUUCAUUUCAAACUUAU